RNAcentral lists this ribosomal RNA (253 nucleotides) under uncultured bacterium. RNAcentral's name for it is "partial 16S ribosomal RNA". It matches the Rfam family "Bacterial small subunit ribosomal RNA", at positions 524 to 776 of the family's 1533-position model. The record is from RNAcentral.
UACGGGGGGGGCAAGCGUUGUUCGGAAUUACUGGGCGUAAAGGGCUCGUAGGCGGCCAACUAAGUCAGAUGUGAAAUCCCCAGGCUCAACCUGGGAACUGCAUCUGAUACUGGAUGGCUUGAAUCCGGGAGAGGGAUGCAGAAUUCCAGGUGUAGCGGUGAAAUGCGUAGAUAUCUGGAGGAAUACCGGUGGCGAAGGCGGCAUCCUGGACCGGCAUUGACGCUGAGGAGCGAAAGCUAGGGGAGCAAACGGG